Molecule: non-coding RNA, 1017 nt
Organism: Delphinapterus leucas (beluga whale)
Lineage: Eukaryota; Metazoa; Chordata; Mammalia; Artiodactyla; Monodontidae
Source: RefSeq, a predicted model, not a curated record
GGGCGGAGGGUUCGAGGGAGACCGGCUAGCAAGGGGGUCCACCCUGGUGUGGCUCGGUCCCCCGAGAGAAGGAGCGAGAGGAGCGCUCGAAGGGACACUGGGGAAAUGGAUCUUUACAGUUUAGGAUGAUGAAGAAGUAAGCGAUAGGAGUCGGAGGCAGCUAUAUUUUUCCUGUUUUGCGAAGAAGUCCAGGGAGAAUUCUAAGUUUAUUUAAAUAAACAGCAAACAGCAUUGAUAUAGUUCAACAUCAUGCUACCGCGGUGUUUGACAAUCUUAGGAGGGAAUAGAAACGCGUUUCUCCGUGUGUCAGGAUGGCCGAGCGGUCUAAGGCGCUGCGUUCAGGUCGCAGUCUCCCCUGGAGGCGUGGGUUCGAAUCCCACUUCUGACAACAUACUCCGGUUUCUAUUUACUGCAUGUAGAUACAAAAGACUCCCCUGAACAAGGAAAAGCCCUCAACCCAGAUCCCUAAACUUGCUGUAACUGACCUGAGUCUUUUCAUGCUCAGACUGCAGUGUCAAACUUUGAUGAGACUCGGAUUCCCCAGCAUCUUGCCGGGCCAGCUCCCACCACCAAUUCUAAUUCAGCACGUUUGCUGGGUCCUCAAAGACCCGGAAAGGAAAUCAACACACCAAACGGGGGAAAGUACUAGAGAGCAAAGGUUCCUUCAAUGUGAAGCCAGCUGGCAUAGGACUUAGGCCAGGCGCAGGAAAAAGCAGUUAAAAAUGUGAAAUGACAACCAGGGGACAAAUGAGGUGUUACUGCAACCUCUCCAGCUGCAAGAAAUCACCCUUAGCUAAAUAUAACGUACCAUUGCUCUAAGCAAGGCCGCCUUCUUUUCUGAGAUAAAAAUAAAUCUCUCUUUGCACAUGGGAGAGGUACGGUGUGGAUUGGGCUGAUUGGGAAGUAACUUACACAAAUUUAUCCUUCCCUUAUAUGUCAGUUAACUGGCAAUAGAGUUGAGCCUUAGGAUAUUUCCCAGGUUUAGUCACUUGCUAUAAAAAACACAUAUUCACUUAA